Molecule: ribosomal RNA, 254 nt
Filed under: uncultured bacterium
Lineage: Bacteria
Description: partial 16S ribosomal RNA
Rfam family: Bacterial small subunit ribosomal RNA
Source: RNAcentral
UACGUAGGGUGCGAGCGUUGUCCGGAAUUAUUGGGCGUAAAGGGCUCGUAGGCGGUCUGUCACGUCUGCCGUGAAAACCCGAGGCUUAACCUCGUGGCUUGCGGUGGAUACGGGCAGACUAGAGGUAGGUAGGGGAGAACGGAAUUCCCGGUGUAGCGGUGAAAUGCGCAGAUAUCGGGAGGAACACCGGUGGCGAAGGCGGUUCUCUGGGCCUUACCUGACGCUGAGGAGCGAAAGCAUGGGGAGCGAACAGG